GACGAACACUGGCGGCAUGCCUAACACAUGCAAGUCGAACGAGAUCUUCGGGUCUAGUGGCGCACGGGUGCGUAACGCGUGGGAAUCUGCCCUUUGGUUCGGAAUAACAGUUGGAAACGACUGCUAAUACCGGAUGAUGACGAAAGUCCAAAGAUUUAUCGCCAGAGGAUGAGCCCGCGUAGGAUUAGCUAGUUGGGGUGGUAAAGGCGCACCAAGGCGACGAUCCUUAGCUGGUCUGAGAGGAUGAUCAGCCACACUGGGACUGAGACACGGCCCAGACUCCUACGGGAGGCAGCAGUGGGGAAUAUUGGACAAUGGGCGAGAGCCUGAUCCAGCAAUGCCGAGUGAGUGAUGAAGGCCUUAGGGUUGUAAAGCUCUUUUACCCGGGAUGAUAAUGACAGUACCGGGAGAAUAAGCUCCGGCUAACUCCGUGCCAGCCGCCGCGGUAA
This 449-nucleotide ribosomal RNA is filed under the name uncultured bacterium. RNAcentral's name for it is "partial 16S ribosomal RNA". It matches the Rfam family "Bacterial small subunit ribosomal RNA", at positions 28 to 523 of the family's 1533-position model. The record is from RNAcentral.